Molecule: ribosomal RNA, 253 nt
Filed under: uncultured bacterium
Lineage: Bacteria
Description: partial 16S ribosomal RNA
Rfam family: Bacterial small subunit ribosomal RNA
Source: RNAcentral
UACGUAGGGUGCAAGCGUUAAUCGGAAUUACUGGGCGUAAAGCGUGCGCAGGCGGUUUUGUAAGACUGUCGUGAAAGCCCCGGGCUUAACCUGGGAAUGGCCGUUGAAACUGGCGAACUGGAGUGUGGCAGAGGGGGGUGGAAUUCCGCGUGUAGCAGUGAAAUGCGUAGAGAUGCGGAGGAACACCGAUGGCGAAGGCAGCCCCCUGGGCUGACACUGACGCUCAGGCACGAAAGCGUGGGGAGCAAACAGG